This 99-nucleotide transfer RNA is filed under the name Colletotrichum eremochloae. RNAcentral describes it as "tRNA-Pro". It matches the Rfam family "tRNA". From Rfam's summary of the family: Transfer RNA (tRNA) molecules are approximately 80 nucleotides in length. Their secondary structure includes four short double-helical elements and three loops (D, anti-codon, and T loops). Further hydrogen bonds mediate the characteristic L-shaped molecular structure. tRNAs have two regions of fundamental functional importance: the anti-codon, which is responsible for specific mRNA codon recognition, and the 3' end, to which the tRNAs corresponding amino acid is attached (by aminoacyl-tRNA synthetases). tRNAs cope with the degeneracy of the genetic code in two manners: having more than one tRNA (with a specific anti-codon) for a particular amino acid; and 'wobble' base-pairing, i.e. permitting non-standard base-pairing at the 3rd anti-codon position. Lineage: Eukaryota; Fungi; Ascomycota; Sordariomycetes; Glomerellales; Glomerellaceae. The record is from RNAcentral.
GGCUCAAUGGUCUAGAGGUAUGAUUCGCCCUUCGGGUUCCACAACCCUUAAGCCUAGCUUGAUUGGGCGAGGCCCCGGGUUCGAAUCCCGGUUGAGCCC